Molecule: ribosomal RNA, 497 nt
Filed under: uncultured bacterium
Lineage: Bacteria
Description: partial 16S ribosomal RNA
Rfam family: Bacterial small subunit ribosomal RNA
Source: RNAcentral
GAUGAACGCUGGCGGCGUGCCUAAUACAUGCAAGUCGAGCGAACGGACGAUAAGCUUGCUUCUCUGAUGUUAUCGGCUGACGGGUGAUUAACACGUGUAUAACCUACCUAUAAUUCUGGGAUAACUUCGGGAAACCGGAUCUAAUACCGGAUAAUAUUUUGAACCUCAUGGUUCAUAAGUGAAAGACGGUCUUUCUGUCACUUAUAGAUGGAUCCGCGCUGCAUUAGCUAGUUGGUAAGGUAACGGCUUACCAAGGCAACGAUGCAUAGCCGACGUGAGAGGGUGAUCGGCAACACUGGAACAGAGACACGGAACAGAGUACUACGGGAGGAAGCAGUAGGGAAUAUUGCGCAAUGGGCGAAAGCAUGACGGAGAAAAGCCGCGUGAGUGAUGAAGGGCUUAGGAUCGUAAAACUAUGUUAUUAGGGAAGAAAAAAUGUGUAAGAAAAUGUGAAGAAAAUGACGGUACCUAAUAAGAAAGCAACGGCUAACUACGUG